AUGGCGGCGGGGGCCGCGCGGGGGGUCCCCGGGGCUGUGGAAGCGGCCGCCAUGGCGGCGGGGCUGCCGGGUACGCCCGGCCCCGGCUGCGGCUCGCCCCGCCCGGCGGCAGGGCCCGGAGUGAGGCGGAGGGAGGCCGGUGAGGCGAUGAGCGGCGGGGCCGGGGCCCUGCCGGCCGUGUGGGGCCGUGGUGUGGAAAGGGAAAUAGAGCCGCUUCUACAGAGCGUUUCUCUACCUGCUGCUGAACCAGCCUUCUUCACGAGCUGCUCAAAUCCAGCCUGUGCCGCGCUCCUCUAGUGUUUGUGCGUGGAAGAUCCUCGCUAGCACCAAGAAAAAAAAAGACUGUGAUGUCAAACAGUUUCAGACAAUAUAAAGCUUCUUUUAAGCAAAGUUAAUAAUUUCCAUGUCAGGUUUUAGAAAAGCACAAUUUACUAUGUCAGAUUUUGGCCUUGUUUUUUUUAAAGAGCUCUGUAACUAAUUGGUAAAAUGACUGUAUUUUAAGCGACUGCAUUACUCACAAGGCAAUUUUAUUUAAUAGCGGGAUUACACAUUGAAAUAAAAAUCAUUGUUACUCUUCCA
RNAcentral lists this long non-coding RNA (579 nucleotides) under Anas platyrhynchos platyrhynchos (common mallard). RNAcentral describes it as "lncRNA (ENSAPLG00000024196.1)". The record is from RNAcentral. Lineage: Eukaryota; Metazoa; Chordata; Aves; Anseriformes; Anatidae.